GGCUGACUACCAUGUUAUUAGGCACUUACCAUUGUGGGUCUUUCAUCUUGGUUAUUGUCUAAGGUAUGUGUGGAGCCAAAAAAUUUGGAUCAUGGAAAGGAUACCUCAAACAUAGAUUAAGAUUUUUUUGUCGAUGGAUUUGUUUAACUAUAAUUUAUUGAUCUAAUGUAAUUAAAAUUAAUGAUUAUAGAUUAAAUCAAAUUCAUACUUCUAAUUUGAUUAAAAGUUAUGUUUAAUUUUAUG
RNAcentral lists this long non-coding RNA (243 nucleotides) under Elaeis guineensis (African oil palm). Its description in RNAcentral is "long non-coding RNA (EGUI_LNC069294)". The record is from RNAcentral. Lineage: Eukaryota; Viridiplantae; Streptophyta; Magnoliopsida; Arecales; Arecaceae.